UUUUGAUGAUUCAUAAUAUAGGUAGUUGAUCGACAGCAAUGUCGACGACCUCUAUUUGAUCCUGACCUAUCAAGUUUCGUAUGUAGUAUAUUUGACUACAUAGCUUAUAACGGGUACGAGAAAUUAGAGUUUGAUUUCGGAGAGAACGCUUUAGAAACGGCGAUCACUUCUAAGGAAGGCAGCAGGUGCGCAAAUUAUUCAAUCGGAUAUACCGGAGAUAGUGAAAAAAAAUAAGAAUACAAAUAUCUUUGAUAAUUGUAAUUCUAAUGAAUUAAAGUUAAAUAUAUUUUAUGAGUAACAAAUGGAGGGCAAGUCUGGUGCCAGCAGCCGCGGUAAUUCCAGCUCCAUGGAUAUAUAUUAGAGUUGUUGUAGUUAAAAAGCUCGUAGUUGAAACUAGACUAAUCUUGAUUAAUAUUUAAAAGUAAUUUUAGAUAUUAUUCAUAUUAGUUUUUAACGGCUAAUAUUGGUAUUUAUACCAGUACUAACCUUUUUACUUUGAAAAAAUUGGAGUGUUUCAAACAGUGUAUUACACUUUGAACAUUUGAGCAUGGGAUAAUAGAAUAAGACUAAAUGUUUUAUACAUUACAAAUUUUAUUGGUUUAUAUGUAUAAGAUUACUAUGCAUUUAGUAAUGAUUAAUAGGGACGAUUGGGGAUGUAUGUACUGAAUAGUUAGAGGUGAAAUUCAUGGAUCUAUUCAAGACAAACAUAUGCGAAAGCGUUCAUCAAGGGCGUUUUCAUUAAUCAAGAACUUUAGAAUGGGGAUCGAAGAUGAUUAGAUACCGUUGUAGUCCAUUCCGUAAACUAUAAAGGGAAAGGGUUAGUCAAUAGUGAAUAAUGGCGCUCUAGUUUACUAGAGAGCCUAUAUGCUUUGAUUAGAACUUUGUGAGAAAUUAGAACCUUUUGUUUUCUAGGGGGAGUAUGUUCGCAAGUAUGGAACUUAAAGGAAUUGACGGAGGGCCACCACAAAAUGUGGAUGCUGCGGCUUAAUUUGACCCAACCCG
RNAcentral lists this ribosomal RNA (1002 nucleotides) under uncultured soil eukaryote. RNAcentral describes it as "SSU rRNA". It matches the Rfam family "Eukaryotic small subunit ribosomal RNA", at positions 241 to 1207 of the family's 1831-position model. The record is from RNAcentral.